RNAcentral lists this ribosomal RNA (477 nucleotides) under uncultured bacterium. RNAcentral describes it as "partial 16S ribosomal RNA". It matches the Rfam family "Bacterial small subunit ribosomal RNA", at positions 28 to 507 of the family's 1533-position model. The record is from RNAcentral.
GAUUAACGCUGGCGGCGUGCAUAACACAUGCAAGUCGAACGAUGAAACUUUAAUGAACCCUUCGGGGAGAAUUAAAGCGGAUUAGUGGCGAACGGGUGAGUAACGCGUGAGUAACCUGCCUUACACAAGGGGAUAGCCUUUGGAAACGAAGAAUAAUACCCUAUAAAACCAUAAAAGCACAUGCAAUUAUGGUCAAAGUGAUAGCGGUGUAAGAUGGACUUGCGUCUGAUUAGCUAGUUGGUGAGAUAAAAGCCCACCAAGGCAACGAUCAGUAGCCGGCUUGAGAGAGUGUACGGCCACAUUGGGACUGCGACACGGCCCAGACUCCUACGGGAGGCAGCAGUGGGGAAUUUUGCACAAUGGGGGAAACCCUGAUGCAGCGACGCCGCGUGAUUUAGAAGGCCUUCGGGUUGUAAAAAUCUUUUGUAUAGGAAGAAAAUGACAGUACUAUACGAAUAAGGUCCGGCUAAUUACGUG